UGAAAAGAUUUCUAAUAAAAAAUAUUUAAUGGGGGUUAAAGUAUUUUUAAUAGAAAAAAUUGAUUUAUUUAUAAUGAAAUAGUAUUGUGAAAGAAUUUUGAAAAAUUUUGAAAAUAAAUUUAAUUAAAAGUAAUUUUAAUUUAAUGUAUCUUGUGUAUCAGAGUUUAUUAAAAAAUUUUUUUAAGUGAAAAUAUUUCGAAUUUAAAAGAGUUAAUUAAUUAAUAAAGUUAAUGUGGUAUAAUUAUUUUUAAUAAUUAGUUUGAAAUGAAAUGUUAUUCGUUUUUAAAUAUAUCUAAUUUUUUUAGAAAAAAAUUUAAUUUUAAAUUAAUUUUAAUAGUUUUUAUUAAUUAUUAUAAUAAAAACAAAAUUUAAUUAAAUAUUUUAGGGGAUAAGCUUUAAAUUAAAAUUUUAUAAUGAAUUAAUUAUAAAUAAAUGAAAUUUUUAAAAUUUAUAUUUUUUAUAAAUUAUAGUUUUUUAUAAAUAAUUUCAUUUGAUUUAAAAUUUAAAAAUUUAUUUAAUUUUUUAUAAAAAAAUAAUUUUUAAUGUAAUAAAAUUAGAAAUAAUGAUUAAAUUAGUAUAUUUAUGUAAAAAUAAUAAAAUAAAAAAAAAUUAAUAAAAAGGAAUUCGGCAAAAAUUUAUAUUCACUUGUUUAUCAAAAACAUGUCUUUUUGAAAAUAAUUUAAAGUCUAAUCUGCCCACUGAAUAAAUUUAAAGGGCUGCAGUAUAUUGACUGUACAAAGGUAGCAUAAUCAAUAGUCUUUUAAUUGAAGACUUGUAUGAAUGAUUUGAUGAAAUAUAAGCUGUCUCUUUAUUAAAAAUAGAAUUUAAUUUUUUAGUUAAAAAGCUAAAAUAUUUAUAAAAGACGAGAAGACCCUAUAGAGUUUUAUAUUUAUUGUUAAUUUAAUUUUAUAUAAAAAUUUAAAUUAAAUUAUUAAUAAAUAUUUUAUUGGGGUGAUAGAAAAAUUAAAAAAACUUUUUUUAAAAAAAUUACAUUGAUAUAUGAAUAUAUGAUCCAUAAUUUAUGAUUACAAGAAUAAAUUACCUUAGGGAUAACAGCGUAAUUUUUUUUUUUAGUUCAAAUAAAAAUUAAAGUUUGCGACCUCGAUGUUGGAUUAAGAUAAAAUUUAAAUGCAAAAGUUUAAAAUUUUGAUCUGUUCGAUCAUUAAAAUCUUACAUGAUCUGAGUUCAAACCGGUGUAAGCCAGGUUGGUUUCUAUCUUUAUAAACAUAAAAUAAUUUAGUACGAAAGGAUCAAUUAUUUUAAAUAAUUUAAUUUAAAUAAGAAUUCUAAUAAAAUAGUUU
This 1301-nucleotide ribosomal RNA is filed under the name Ixias pyrene. RNAcentral describes it as "16S ribosomal RNA". Lineage: Eukaryota; Metazoa; Arthropoda; Insecta; Lepidoptera; Pieridae. The record is from RNAcentral.